GAUGAACGCUAGCGACAGGCCUAACACAUGCAAGUCGAGGGGCAGCACGAGGUAGCAAUACUAGGGUGGCGACCGGCGGACGGGUGAGUAACACGUAUGCAACCUGCCCGUAAUCGGGGGAUAACCCGGAGAAAUUCGGACUAACACUCCAUGUAUCUGUAUUAUUGCAUGAUAAAACAGAAAAACGCAAGGAUUACGGAUGGGCAUGCGGAUGAUUAGCUGGUUGGCGGGGUAACGGCCCACCAAGGCGACGAUCAUUAGGGGUUCUGAGAGGAAGGUCCCCCACAUUGGAACUGAGAAACGGUCCAAACUCCUACGGGAGCAGCAGUGAGGAAUAUUGGUCAAUGGGCGAGAGCCUGGAACCAGCCAAGUCGCGUGAAGGAAGAAGGUCUUAUGGAUUGUAAACUUCUUUAGCUAGGGGAAUAAAGGUUAUACGAGCUAAUAAUUUGCAGGUACUCUGCGAAAAGUCGGACUAACGUCCGUGCCAGCCAGCCGGGUAAACUGUAGUCGU
RNAcentral lists this ribosomal RNA (511 nucleotides) under uncultured bacterium. RNAcentral's name for it is "bacterial SSU rRNA". It matches the Rfam family "Bacterial small subunit ribosomal RNA", at positions 28 to 534 of the family's 1533-position model. The record is from RNAcentral.